CGAAGAGUACAGGGGAGCCGAUGUGGCUGAGAUGGGCGUUUGCCCGGACCCUUAUGACCUGAACAGGGUAGUGCCUGCGUAGGGAUGUUACGAACGGUGCGCG
This is a non-coding RNA of Bifidobacterium pseudocatenulatum, 103 nucleotides long. Lineage: Bacteria; Bacillati; Actinomycetota; Actinomycetes; Bifidobacteriales; Bifidobacteriaceae. The record is from Rfam.